This 465-nucleotide ribosomal RNA is filed under the name Vreelandella stevensii. Its description in RNAcentral is "partial 16S ribosomal RNA". It matches the Rfam family "Bacterial small subunit ribosomal RNA", at positions 338 to 795 of the family's 1533-position model. Lineage: Bacteria; Pseudomonadati; Pseudomonadota; Gammaproteobacteria; Oceanospirillales; Halomonadaceae. The record is from RNAcentral.
CCUACGGGCGGCAGCAGUGGGGAAUAUUGGACAAUGGGGGGAACCCUGAUCCAGCCAUGCCGCGUGUGUGAAGAAGGCCCUCGGGUUGUAAAGCACUUUCAGUGAGGAAGAACGCCUGGUGGUUAAUACCCAUCAGGAAAGACAUCACUCACAGAAGAAGCACCGGCUAACUCCGUGCCAGCAGCCGCGGUAAUACGGAGGGUGCGAGCGUUAAUCGGAAUUACUGGGCGUAAAGCGCGCGUAGGUGGCUUGAUAAGCCGGUUGUGAAAGCCCCGGGCUCAACCUGGGAACGGCAUCCGGAACUGUCAAGCUAGAGUGCGGGAGAGGAAGGUAGAAUUCCCGGUGUAGCGGUGAAAUGCGUAGAGAUCGGGAGGAAUACCAGUGGCGAAGGCGGCCUUCUGGACUGACACUGACACUGAGGUGCGAAAGCGUGGGUAGCAAACAGGAUUAGAUACCCCAGUAGUC